Octodon degus (degu) is the source of this 127-nucleotide small nucleolar RNA. Its record names the gene SNORA63. It matches the Rfam family "Small nucleolar RNA SNORA63". From Rfam's summary of the family: E3 belongs to the H/ACA class of snoRNAs and is involved in the processing of eukaryotic pre-rRNA and has regions of complementarity to 18S rRNA. The record is from Ensembl. NCBI's taxonomy places the organism in Eukaryota, Metazoa, Chordata, Mammalia, Rodentia, Octodontidae.
AAGCAGGAUUCAGACUACAAUAUAGCUGUUAAGUGCUGUGUUGUCAUUCUCCCUGCUCAGAAUAAAGUUGUUUCUUAACUAUAACUUAAGUUAUAGUUAGCUGCCAGGGACACUUGGUCUCAUAUAU